CGCCUCUUGAAACUACAUAAGAGGUCCAGCCUGCCCAGUGACUAAGUUCAACGGCCGCGGUAUCCUAACCGUGCGAAGGUAGCGUAAUCACUUGUUCUUUAAAUGAGGACUAGUAUGAAUGGCACCACGAGGGUUAUGCUGUCUCCUUUUUCUAAUCAAUGAAACUGAUCUCCCCGUGAAGAAGCGGGGAUAUACCUAUAAGACGAGAAGACCCUAUGGAGCUUUAAACCAUGUAACACUGGCUUUAACAUUAAAAUAUUCCAGAAUUUUCAUAACUACUCUAGCUAUUAUGAUUACUAGUUUUAGGUUGGGGUGACCGCGGAGCAAAAAUUAACCUCCAUGUUGAACGGAGCUACUCCUGAGCCAAAAGCCACGACUUUAAGCACUAAUAAAUUAACAUCAAUUGACCCAAUAUUUUUGAUCAACGAACCAAGUUACCCUAGGGAUAACAGCGCA
RNAcentral lists this ribosomal RNA (456 nucleotides) under Dendropsophus aff. minutus. RNAcentral describes it as "partial 16S ribosomal RNA". It matches the Rfam family "Bacterial large subunit ribosomal RNA", at positions 1819 to 2484 of the family's 2925-position model. The record is from RNAcentral. Lineage: Eukaryota; Metazoa; Chordata; Amphibia; Anura; Hylidae.